AAAAAAAAAUUCAUAGGUCCUCGGCCAAUAGGAUAAAAGUUUUACCAGUUUCAUGCAAUGUUAGGGGCGAAAUAUUGAAGUUUUCUGUUAUGUUAAUGGCUAUGGCAGGAAUAUAGUUGGUAACUAUGGACUAUAAUCAACAAAAGGAAACAGUAUGGGGUGUAUGUAACAAAUACGAUGUAUUAUCAACCAUGAGGAGCAAAAGGAAAGAACUCAGAAGACAACAUUGAGAUGGAAGAUGAUCGGGCUUCUCUUCCUCCAACAAGCCUUGUUUAGUUCUAAUGAAGGCUCGCUCUCUAAGCUGUAAGGCAUCGACAAAAGGUAUUCACCCGAUCCUAGCUAUUCCUUCGAAAAGAUAAGUAAUUAACUAUAUGUCGGCUCAUUCAAUUUCACAUGGAAAUUGCUUUUGCUUGAUUAAUUAUGUCGUAUUGUUAGGUACUGAAAUUGAGCUUUGCCAUGACUUUUUUUUUCUUGAAUAUAAAAAUCAUAAUCAUGCUUGUGUUUUGCAAUUUGCUGUGUUAGUUGACGGCAAAAUCAAUAGGG
RNAcentral lists this long non-coding RNA (543 nucleotides) under Durio zibethinus. RNAcentral's name for it is "long non-coding RNA (DZIB_LNC000140)". Lineage: Eukaryota; Viridiplantae; Streptophyta; Magnoliopsida; Malvales; Malvaceae. The record is from RNAcentral.